Molecule: ribosomal RNA, 492 nt
Filed under: uncultured bacterium
Lineage: Bacteria
Description: partial 16S ribosomal RNA
Rfam family: Bacterial small subunit ribosomal RNA
Source: RNAcentral
AGUGAACGCUGGCGGUAGGCCUAACACAUGCAAGUCGAACGGCAGCACAGUAAGAGCUUGCUCUUACGGGUGGCGAGUGGCGGACGGGUGAGGAAUACAUCGGAAUCUACUUUUUCGUGGGGGAUAACGUAGGGAAACUUACGCUAAUACCGCAUACGACCUACGGGUGAAAGCAGGGGAUCUUCGGACCUUGCGCGAUUGAAUGAGCCGAUGUCGGAUUAGCUAGUUGGCGGGGUAAAGGCCCACCAAGGCGACGAUCCGUAGCUGGUCUGAGAGGAUGAUCAGCCACACUGGAACUGAGACACGGUCCAGACUACUACGGGAGGCAGCAGUGGGGAAUAUUGGACAAUGGGCGCAAGCCUGAUCCAGCCAUACCGCGUGGGUGAAGAAGGCCUUCGGGUUGUAAAGCCCUUUUGUUGGGAAAGAAAAGCAGCAGGUUAAUACCCCGCUGUUCUGACGGUACCCAAAGAAUAAGCACCGGCUAACUUCGUG